GACCAUAAGGGUUUAUGCUAAAAUUCAACAAUUUUCAAAUAUUUCAUGAAAUUAAUUCUUAUCCCUAAGUUUGUAUUUAAAAUAUAUUUAAGUUGACAAACUAAGGUUUUAUUAAUAAACUACAUAUAUCCCUAUGUAAAUCAAUGUUCCUCACAUGGUUUUAGAAUAAUAGGCUAUCAAUAAAGGGACAUACAUAAUUUGUCCAACAUCAGACAUACACACACAAUAAGCAAGACAAGGAUUGCUCUACAGAUACUGAAUAGACAUUAUUAAGAUGGAUGUAGCAAUCAAAAACUACAAUUUUAAAAAUACAGUUCAAUGACACUAGGAGAUAAAAAUAGUUCUUUCAUAAUUGUCCCUUUAUUAUUUAAUUUCCACUAACAAUACCAAAAUUGAAAUCGUUCAGGAAAACUGAUAUACUGCAAAUAACAACAAAAAAAAUCAAAUAAAAAUGAAAGAAAAAUCUUUAACCUCAUUAGUACAUUUUUAAAGAAUGCUCAGCAAAAGUCAGAAAACUAAGGGCACAAUCUGCUAUUAA
This 538-nucleotide long non-coding RNA is filed under the name Homo sapiens (human). RNAcentral describes it as "non-protein coding lnc-HOMER1-6:1". Lineage: Eukaryota; Metazoa; Chordata; Mammalia; Primates; Hominidae. The record is from RNAcentral.